This 62-nucleotide transfer RNA is filed under the name Absiella sp. AM09-45. RNAcentral describes it as "tRNA-Ala". It matches the Rfam family "tRNA", at positions 2 to 61 of the family's 71-position model. Rfam says of the family: Transfer RNA (tRNA) molecules are approximately 80 nucleotides in length. Their secondary structure includes four short double-helical elements and three loops (D, anti-codon, and T loops). The record is from RNAcentral. Lineage: Bacteria; Bacillati; Bacillota; Erysipelotrichia; Erysipelotrichales; Erysipelotrichaceae.
GGGUUUUAGCUCAGCUGGGAGAGCACCUGCCUUGCACGCAGGGGGUCAUCGGUUCGAUCCCG